GCGGGUAUCGUAUAGCGGUAUUACCCAAUCUUCCCAAGAUUGUGAGAGGGGUUCGACUCCCCUUACCCGCU
This 71-nucleotide transfer RNA is filed under the name bacterium. Its description in RNAcentral is "tRNA-Gly". It matches the Rfam family "tRNA". From Rfam's summary of the family: Transfer RNA (tRNA) molecules are approximately 80 nucleotides in length. The record is from RNAcentral.